RNAcentral lists this ribosomal RNA (207 nucleotides) under uncultured bacterium. RNAcentral's name for it is "partial 16S ribosomal RNA". It matches the Rfam family "Bacterial small subunit ribosomal RNA", at positions 568 to 774 of the family's 1533-position model. The record is from RNAcentral.
CUCGUAGGCGGUUCGUCGCGUCCGGUGUGAAAGUCCAUCGCUUAACGGUGGAUCCGCGCCGGGUACGGGCGGGCUUGAGUGCGGUAGGGGAGACUGGAAUUCCCGGUGUAACGGUGGAAUGUGUAGAUAUCGGGAAGAACACCAAUGGCGAAGGCAGGUCUCUGAGCCGUUACUGACGCUGAGGAGCGAAAGCGUGGGGAGCGAACA